GGGCGCAUAGCUCAAUGGUAGAGCAGCGGCCUUUUAAGCCGUUGGUUGCAGGUUCGAGUCCUGCUGCGCCCA
Molecule: transfer RNA, 72 nt
Filed under: Chloroflexota bacterium
Lineage: Bacteria; Bacillati; Chloroflexota
Description: Chloroflexi bacterium (hydrothermal vent metagenome) tRNA-Lys
Rfam family: tRNA
About the family: Transfer RNA (tRNA) molecules are approximately 80 nucleotides in length. Their secondary structure includes four short double-helical elements and three loops (D, anti-codon, and T loops).
Source: RNAcentral